This 464-nucleotide ribosomal RNA is filed under the name uncultured bacterium. RNAcentral describes it as "partial 16S ribosomal RNA". It matches the Rfam family "Bacterial small subunit ribosomal RNA", at positions 339 to 795 of the family's 1533-position model. The record is from RNAcentral.
CUACGGGGGGCUCCAGUGAGGAAUUUUGCGCAAUGGGGGAAACCCUGACGCAGCAACGCCGCGUGAGUGAAGAAGGCCUUCGGGUCGUAAAGCUCUGUCAAGUGGAAAAAACGACUUACGGUAAAUAGCCGUAAGUUCUGAUGGUACCACUAGAGGAAGCACCGGCUAACUCCGUGCCAGCAGCCGCGGUAAUACGGAGGGUGCAAGCGUUGUUCGGAAUUACUGGGCGUAAAGAGCGUGUAGGCGGUAUGGUAAGUCAGAUGUGAAAGCCCUGGGCUUAACCCAGGAAGUGCAUUUGAUACUGCUAUUCUUGAGUAUGGGAGAGGAGAGUGGAAUUCCCAGUGUAGAGGUGACAUUCGUAGAUAUUGGGAGGAACAUCCGUGGCGAAGGCGACUCUCUGGACCAAUACUGACGCUGAGACGCGAAAGCGUGGGGAGCAAACAGGAUUAGAUACCCCCGUAGUC